This 505-nucleotide ribosomal RNA is filed under the name uncultured bacterium. RNAcentral's name for it is "partial 16S ribosomal RNA". It matches the Rfam family "Bacterial small subunit ribosomal RNA", at positions 28 to 507 of the family's 1533-position model. The record is from RNAcentral.
GACGAACGCUGGCGGCGUGCCUAAUACAUGCAAGUAGAACGCACAGUUUAUACCGUAGCUUGCUACACCAUAGACUGUGAGUUGCGAACGGGUGAGUAACGCGUAGGUAACCUGCCUGGUAGCGGGGGAUAACUAUUGGAAACGAUAGCUAAUACCGCAUAAUAUUAAUUAUUGCAUGAUAAUUAAUUGAAAGGUGCAAUUGCACCACUACCAGAUGGACCUGCGUUGUAUUAGCUAGUAGGUGAGGUAACGGCUCACCUAGGCGACGAUACAUAGCCGACCUGGGAGGGUGGACGGCCACACUGGGACUUGGAAACGGCCCAGACUCCCACGGGGGGCAGCAGUAAGGAAACUUUGGCAAUGGACGAAAGGCUGACCGAGCAACGCCGCGUGAGUGAAGAAGGUUUUCGGAUCGGAAAGCUCUGUUGUAAGAGAAGAACGGGUGGGAGAGUGAAAAGUGCACACUGUGACGGUAUCUUACCAGAAAGGCACGGCUAACUACGUG